GAAGACAAAACCCAGACCGACUUCGGUCUCGAGUUGCUCUGCAGCGACGGAGCUCAGCUCCCUCCUCCGUCGUCCGGCCGCCUCCCGGUGCAAGGCUGGUAUCCACAGGUCCGUCUCGUUGUCCCCGUCCUCAAGAUGAUCUUCGUUUUCGAUGGGAAGCUCCGGUGAGAGAGAAAAGGAGGAGAAGAAUUUCUAGGUUUCCGAUCGAGUUCGUGACUCCGGCCACGGCGGCGAGCGUGACCGGUAUUGGUAGCUUCGACUCGUCCUCCCCAUCCUCCCUGCGGUCUCUAUUUCGUCAAAGGAGCGUCGAUGAGAGAGAAUUGAGCAGAGGAAUGUUUUAGGUUUUAGGCCGUGUUCUUGAUGUUUUCCGGCCACCGGCGAAGGCAAGCGAGGUAUCAAUCUUCAUCUAAUCGUCGAGCUUUACAUGUUUCUAUAAUUGAAAUUGAGUUUGGAUUAAGUUUGGAAGAAUUUGGGUAUUGGGGCAGUGUUGUGGUGGCUGUUGUUCAUAACGGCAGUGGUGGAGGAGUUGUCCAAUUGCUUGUUAUCUUGUGAAGUUUAUAUUGAUGCUCUCUAAAUAGGUUGGCUUUGUUAAGCUUGAUUUUAUAUUGUCGAGAGUUGGAUUAUCAUAACGAAGAACUGGUGUUGCUCGAGAGUUAGGAAGAAUAAUUGCUGCUAUUUUGGCUAUUAUUAAUAGAUGUUGUUUUGGCUAUUAUUGAGGUGUGCCUUACGAAAUGAAUGGAAUUAGGAGCUUUGUUUUUCAAGAUAGAGGAGCUGAGUCAUGUGGAAGUGCAAUUAUAGGACAAAUUGAGAAGGCUGUUGUGUUUGUGAUGGUUACUGUGCUUGGAGUCCACAAUGGUGGUGAUCGUGAUCAUACUUGAAGAUAUGGAGAAUUGGAUUUACUUUAUUGUCAAGGGAAGUUGGUAAUUAUAGAUUUUGGUCAAGAACUUUUCUAUGGUGAGCAGUGAUGGUCUUAAAGUUUAUUUGGCAAUCCGGCUAGAGCAUGAGAAUAUGUAAUUUGGUUGAGAGUAACAUUGGGUGUCCUUGGUAGUUUUCAAGGACUUGAUCACAUUGAUUUGAAGUGAUCCGCCGACUUUCUCGGAAAGAGGAUUUGAUACGAGGAUCGAGUGCGAGUUGCAAGAUUCCAGAAGCAGAAGGAUAAGGAUUUCAGAAGCGUGUUGCAAUGUUACUAAUUUUAAUUGGCGUCGAAGCUAGCGCUUGGAUUUCAGGUGUACGAGUACGACACGUAUUUCUAGAAGACUAACUGUGAAGUUAGCUUACGUGUACAAAAGUCGAGAAGUACGGAAGAUUAGAAGUGAGCUAGACCUUAAGACUUAUUUUGUUUUUGUAAUUAGUUUUGUUAUUUGUAAACGUUUUAUUUUCUUUUAUUUUUACAAUUUCUAGAAAAGUAUUUGAAAUUGUUUUAGUUUCUUUUACUUUUCCCGCUCAAGUCUCGGGUUUGGCGUCAGGUGCUUGGAAACCACCGACACCGGGUUCGAGGUGUGACAAGAACACUAGAUCGAGGCACACAACCCCCUAACAUCUACCUCUC
This is an RNA transcript of Fragaria vesca subsp. vesca, 1549 nucleotides long. RefSeq lists it as uncharacterized. The record is from RefSeq and is a predicted model, not a curated record. The transcript has 2 exons. Lineage: Eukaryota; Viridiplantae; Streptophyta; Magnoliopsida; Rosales; Rosaceae.